CAUAUAGGGAUCAAAACUGAACACAGACGAACCACCAUGGACUUUGGACUCCACUGGGUUUUCUUUAUUGUUCUUUUAACAGGUGUCCAGUGUGAGGUACAAUUGCUGGAAUCUGGGGGAGGCUUGGUCCAAACUGGGGGAUCCUUGAGACUCUCUUGUGAGGCCUCCGGGUUCGCCUUCAGUAGCUUUUGGAUGUAUUGGAUCCGCCAAGCUCCAGAAAAGGGACUGGAGUGGAUCUCAUACAUUAAUGCUGAUGGUGGUAGCACAGGCUAUGCAGACUCUGUGAAGGGCCGGUUCACCACAUCCAGAGACAACGCCAAGAACAUGCGUUAUCUGCAAUUGAACAACCUGCAAGAGCAGGACACUGGUGUCUAUUUCUGUGCAAAAGACACAGUGAGUAAAUAUCCUUAA
Carlito syrichta (Philippine tarsier) is the source of this 411-nucleotide non-coding RNA. Lineage: Eukaryota; Metazoa; Chordata; Mammalia; Primates; Tarsiidae. The record is from the annotation of a RefSeq genome assembly.